CAGAGUGUUUAUUAGCAAAGGACCACAGGAGGCGGCAGGUAGCUGGGUCCAGGGGCAGGCAGAAGGGCAUACACAGGGACUCCAAAAAGGACGCAACGUCAUCCUCCCUCUGGGGGAAGAGGAAAGCUCCUCAGUGAAGACCAAGAGCAUGCCGUUGUAGGAUUGGUCAUUGCUGACAAAGCAAUAAAACUGAGAUAAACUCAGACCAGAACCUGGUAUUUCACAAUUUGGAAAGGAUCAGCCUGACCACCAUUGCUCGGACUCUGACCAAAGACAGAGUUUGAAUGAAACAGUUGUACACAGUUCCUUUUCAAAGGAAUAGUGAGCAGGUCAAGGAACUCCGGCACCAAUACGUCCAGAGAGUCAUGGAGUAGGGGGCUAAUCAGACCCCCCAUGAAAUAAUUUAUGUAGAUGAGGCAGGGUUUAACCUGGCAAAAACAUGUCGGCAGGGAAGAAACGUAAUCGGGAAAAGGGCCACUGUUGAUGUGCCGGGUCAGAGAGGAGCAAAUAUCACAAUGUGUGCUGCAAUCUGGAGUGCUGGUUUGGUCCUGCAGAAAUGCCAAUUUGGUCCCUACAACACUGAGCGCCUUUUGUUUUUAGAUGACCUCCACCAACAACUGGUGCCAGAAGCAGAAAGGGAACAGGAGGAAGGAAACAUUUGUGAUUGCAUGGGACAAUGUAGCAUUCCACCAUUCUCGUGCAAUCCCAAACUGGUUUGCAGCCCAUCCAAAAAUGUUUUCCCUUCCCCCCCUACUCGACUUUCCUCAACCCCAUUGAAUGUUUUUUUUCUGCCUGGAGGUGGAAAGUGUACGAUCAUCGGCCACUUGACCAAAUGUCCUGCAAUGGAUGCUGGCUGCAGAGACAUCUCAGCUGAAGACUGCCAGGGGUGGAUAAGGCAGGCCAGGCGUUUCUAUCCAAGAUGCAGAGACAUCUCAGCUGAAGACUGCCAGGGGUGGAUAAGGCAGGCCAAGCGUUUCUAUCCAAGAUGCAUGGCGAGAGACGACAAUCGAUGUGAUGUGGACGGGAACAUGUGGCCAAAUGCUGGAGAUUGUUUAGAUUAGAACAGGACUGGGCAUUUUUGUGUUUUUUCCCUUCUGUGCCUUUUUUACAGUAAUUGUGUUUUAUUUUUUACACAUUUGGAACCAAAAGCCAUGUAUGUUGGAUUUGUUGUUGAUCACUGGCAGCAAUUUCAUGUUGCUAAUAAAGAUUUUAC
Molecule: non-coding RNA, 1213 nt
Organism: Oncorhynchus mykiss (rainbow trout)
Lineage: Eukaryota; Metazoa; Chordata; Actinopteri; Salmoniformes; Salmonidae
Source: RefSeq, a predicted model, not a curated record